RNAcentral lists this ribosomal RNA (492 nucleotides) under uncultured bacterium. RNAcentral describes it as "partial 16S ribosomal RNA". It matches the Rfam family "Bacterial small subunit ribosomal RNA", at positions 29 to 507 of the family's 1533-position model. The record is from RNAcentral.
AGUGAACGCUGGCGGUAGGCCUAACACAUGCAAGUCGAACGGCAGCACAGUAAGAGCUUGCUCUUACGGGUGGCGAGUGGCGGACGGGUGAGGAAUACAUCGGAAUCUACUUUUUCGUGGGGGAUAACGUAGGGAAACUUACGCUAAUACCGCAUACGACCUACGGGUGAAAGCAGGGGAUCUUCGGACCUUGCGCGAUUGAAUGAGCCGAUGUCGGAUUAGCUAGUUGGCGGGGUAAAGGCCCACCAAGGCGACGAUCCGUAGCUGGUCUGAGAGGAUGAUAAGCCACACUGGAACUGAGACACGGUCCAGACUCCUACGGGAGGCAGCAGUGGGGAAUAUUGGACAAUGGGCGCAAGCCUGAUCCAGCCAUACCGCGUGGGUGAAGAAGGCCUUCGGGUUGUAAAGCCCUUUUGUUGGGAAAGAAAAGCAGCAGGUUAAUACCCCGCUGUCCUGACGGUACCCAAAGAAUAAGCACCGGCUAACUUCGUG